This 360-nucleotide long non-coding RNA is filed under the name Lathyrus oleraceus (garden pea). RNAcentral's name for it is "Pisum sativum (pea) long non-coding RNA (PSAT_LNC019535)". The record is from RNAcentral. Lineage: Eukaryota; Viridiplantae; Streptophyta; Magnoliopsida; Fabales; Fabaceae.
UUUAAUUCAAAAUACGAAAGAAGAAUUUAUUUAAAAAUUUUUGGUGAAACUCACAUAUUUUUUGGAUCAAUAUUAAAAUUAAUAUGAAUUAAUGAAAAUCAAAUGAAAUAAAAUAAAAAUCAAAAAAUCAAAAAAAACGUGGACCACUUGAUCUCCCUCAUUAAUUAAGGUGGCAGAUCAAGUGGACAUGAACGCACGUUCCACCAUACACCUAGUCAACUGUUCCAUACGCGUGGUAAUUACUUUGGGCGCUCAGGGUUAAAACACUUGAAAUGAGAUCAAUGGCUCAGAACCUAUCCAGCACACCACCGACGUUGGACCUCCGAUCACCUUCUCAGGCGAGGUCCACCGGACUGGUUC